RNAcentral lists this ribosomal RNA (499 nucleotides) under uncultured bacterium. RNAcentral describes it as "bacterial SSU rRNA". It matches the Rfam family "Bacterial small subunit ribosomal RNA", at positions 899 to 1397 of the family's 1533-position model. The record is from RNAcentral.
ACUCAAAGGAAUAGACGGGGGCCCGCACAAGCGGCGGAGCAUGCGGAUUAAUUCGAUGCAACGCGAAGAACCUUACCUGGGCUUGACAUGCAGGGGGAUCCGGCGGAGACGUCGGCGCCUUUCGGGGCCCCUGCACAGGUGGUGCAUGGUUGUCGUCAGCUCGUGUUGUGAAAUGUUGGGUUAAGUCCCGCAACGAGCGCAACCCUCGCCUCGUGUUGCCAGCGGGUCAUGCCGGGAACUCACGGGGGACCGCCGGGGUUAACUCGGAGGAAGGUGGGGAUGACGUCAAAUCAUCAUGCCCCUUACGUCCAGGGCUUCACGCAUGCUACAAUGGCCGGUACAGAGGGAUGCGAUGGCGUGAGCCGGGGCGGAUCCCUUAAAACCGGUCUCAGUUCGGAUCGGGGGCUGCAACUCGCCCCCGUGAAGGUGGAGUCGCUAGUAAUCGCAGAUCAGCAACGCUGCGGUGAAUGCGUUCCCGGGCCUUGCACACACCGCCCGU